UCCCUUCAUUGGGUAGUAAGACUAAACUGACCUGGUUUCUUCUCUGUUUACUGCUCAAACACUUCCUUUCAGAUCUCUUAUUUGAUUGGUAUGUUUGCAUAAUCAUAAUAAUGUUCCACAGGAUUCUCUUGAUUUAAUCGCUUUAUUUACCUAUUUCAGCUUCAUUUUGCACCUACACUACUUCAUUUUUUGUUCAUUCUUUCUAAACACAGAAGCAUAUGGAGAUUUAUAAACGUGAAGCUGGAUUUGACUAAAUAAAAGAAAAACAUCACGAUUUACUUACCGAUUCUGCAGCAACGCUUUCAGGAGGAGAAUAUAUCGCCGCAUGAAGCAUCUCCAGCAGAUUCCUGGCUUGGUCCAUCCUGCUAGUCAAACAGAAAAUACCACAUAGGUAAACACAAAAAGAACAGCAUUAAGGAUGCAUGAUGCUCUGCGCUCUCUCACAGCUCGCAGGUACAUUGCAGGUACAGUAAGUUGUCUUCAUUGUUGUUGAUCCACCAGAGUUUGUCCCUAAAAUACAUAAGCAGGCACUAAAUUUGCUAAGUUUUUUGUUCA
This is a long non-coding RNA of Amphiprion ocellaris (clown anemonefish), 555 nucleotides long. RefSeq lists it as uncharacterized. The transcript is spliced from 3 exons. NCBI's taxonomy places the organism in Eukaryota, Metazoa, Chordata, Actinopteri, Pomacentridae. The record is from RefSeq and is a predicted model, not a curated record.